RNAcentral lists this ribosomal RNA (292 nucleotides) under uncultured bacterium. RNAcentral's name for it is "partial 16S ribosomal RNA". It matches the Rfam family "Archaeal small subunit ribosomal RNA", at positions 455 to 747 of the family's 1478-position model. The record is from RNAcentral.
GUGCAGCCGCCGCGGUAAUACCGGCAGCACGAGUGAUGGCCGAUUUUAUUGGGCCUAAAGCGUCCGUAGCUUGCUGUGUAAGUCCAUUGGGAAAUCCACGCGCUCAACGCGUGGGCGUCCGGUGGAAACUGCACGGCUUGGGGCCGAGAGGCUCGACGGGUACGUCCGGGGUAGGAGUGAAAUCCUAUAAUCCUGGACGGACCACCAAUGGGGAAACCACGUCGAGAGACCGGACCCGACAGUGAGGGACGAAAGCCAGGGUCUCGAACCGGAUUAGAAACCCCGGUAGUCC